GCGUGGUGUAGUGGUUAAGAGCGACAGACUCUUAAUCUAGUGAACUGGGUUCGAUUCCCUGCUCCUCCA
Non-coding RNA from Podarcis lilfordi (Lilford's wall lizard), 69 nucleotides. The record is from the annotation of a GenBank genome assembly. Lineage: Eukaryota; Metazoa; Chordata; Lepidosauria; Squamata; Lacertidae.